GUGCUCACUUCGGCAGCACAUAUACUAAAAUUGAAACAAUACAGAGAUUUAUUAGCAUGGCACCUGUACAUGAUGACAUGCAAAUUCACAAAGUGUUCCACAUUUUU
Molecule: small nuclear RNA, 107 nt
Organism: Eptesicus fuscus (big brown bat)
Lineage: Eukaryota; Metazoa; Chordata; Mammalia; Chiroptera; Vespertilionidae
Source: RefSeq, a predicted model, not a curated record